CGCAUGAAGCAGUGGGAAAAACUCCGGUGGUACAGGAUGGGCCCGCGUCUGAUUAGCUAGUUGGUAAGGUAACGGCUUACCAAGGCGACGAUCAGUAGCCGACCUGAGAGGGUGACCGGCCACAUUGGGACUGAGACACGGCCCAAACUCCUACGGGAGGCAGCAGUGGGGAAUAUUGCACAAUGGGGGAAACCCUGAUGCAGCGACGCCGCGUGAGCGAUGAAGUAUUUCGGUAUGUAAAGCUCUAUCAGCAGGGAAGAAACUGACGGUACCUGACUAAGAAGCACCGGCUAAAUACGUGCCAGCAGCCGCGGUAAUACGUAUGGUGCAAGCGUUAUCCGGAUUUACUGGGUGUAAAGGGAGCGUAGACGGACUUGCAAGUCUGAAGUGAAAGCCCGGGGCUCAACCCCGGGACUGCUUUGGAAACUGUAGGUCUAGAGUGCUGGAGAGGUAAGUGGAAUUCCUAGUGUAGCGGUGAAAUGCGUAGAUAUACGGAGGAACACCAGUGGCGAAGGCGGAUUGCUGGACGAUAACUGACGCUGAGGCGCGAAAGCGUGGGGAGCAAACAGGAUUAGAUACCCUGGUAGUCCAUGCCGUAAACGAUGAGUGCUAAGUGUUGGGAGGUUUCCGCCUCUCAGUGCUGCAGCUAACGC
RNAcentral lists this ribosomal RNA (653 nucleotides) under uncultured bacterium. Its description in RNAcentral is "bacterial SSU rRNA". It matches the Rfam family "Bacterial small subunit ribosomal RNA", at positions 187 to 858 of the family's 1533-position model. The record is from RNAcentral.